CAGAUUGCAGGCUGCAACCCGCCUGCAUGAAGUCGGAAUUGCUAGUAAUCGCGGAUCAGCAUGCCGCGGUGAAUACGUUCCCGGGGCCUUGUACACACCGCCCGUCACACCAUGGGAGCCGGUAAUACCCGAAGUCAGUAGUCCAACCUCGUGAGGACGCUGCCGAAGGUAGGAUUGGCGACUGGGGUGAAGUCGUAACAAGGUAAC
RNAcentral lists this ribosomal RNA (207 nucleotides) under uncultured bacterium. Its description in RNAcentral is "partial 16S ribosomal RNA". It matches the Rfam family "Bacterial small subunit ribosomal RNA", at positions 1294 to 1500 of the family's 1533-position model. The record is from RNAcentral.